UCAUGAGAUAAAUUCAUUUCUCUUUCUUCCCUCAUUCAUAAAUAAAAAUAAAGAAACUGAUUCAUCUUCCUUCUUUCCUCUAGUAUCUCACCGGAUGUUAUCUUCAUUCUCCUCUCAAUCGAUAAUUUUCUUCCUCCAUCCUCUUAACUAAGAUUUUUAGAUGAAUGAUGAGUGUAUAUAAUUUUUUUACAUGAUUUCUCUUUCUAGAAUUAUACAAUGUUCAUCUUAAUGAUUCUCAAAUCUAAUUCGUUCUUUUUCUAAUAUUGAGGAAUUUAUGUUCAAAUUCGAAUUAUUUAUAUUUUUGAGGUUUUAAAAAAAUUUCUUUAUUAUUGAACUUUUAUUGUCUGUAAUGGUCAUUUGUUUUUAGGUCAUUUCCUAUUGGAUUUGAAUAUGCAUGUACUAAUUUUUUCGUUAUACUUAUUCAUGUUUGGAUUUAGGUAGUGAGAUGCAAUUUUUAUGGAUGAUUUUGAAUCCAAACUCAAAGAUAAUGGACCAUUUUAGUGAUUGAUUGAAAAAACAUUGGCAUAUUUGAUGAGAGAAGAGGAAAAGUUAACAAAGAUAUUAGAGAUAUUGGAGUACAGACGUCACCCUUGACAAUGUUGGCUUCCUUCCCUUCAUAGCAAGGCGAUGAUGAGUCCAAUAUGGCUACCAAUUAACUGGAAAAAUAAAGGGAUGACCUGCUCAAAUUUACUAAUAAUGAGUUAAGGGAGUAUUUACUUGAGUUUGUUGGUCAAUUUGAAAGACUUGUUGGUGCUAUUGCAAGAAGUAUGGAUGCAAUGCUCUGAAUGUCUGUCGAUAAGAGUGAUCUUCAAAUUUUAAGAAUGAUCGCACACAAGUUUGUUGAAGGAGACACACGCUAUGAGUAAUUUGAGCAAAUCACGUAUGCACACAAAUUCAGCUAAAAGUAGUAAAAGAUCCUUAAAAUGGUGACUUUUGCCAAAUCGAAGAAUUCUUUGAAGCGCGCUGAAGGAAACAAAUUUUGCAAUUAUCUUGCUUUGGUGAUGGUGCGAGAAAAUCUGAGAAAGUUAUGCUUUUUCGGUUCCAUUAUUCGAAUGAUCAAAUUGUCCAAAACAGAAAUGCGUCUGACAUCAACAUAAAGUUUAUAUGGCUUUUGAAUUGCCAAACGAGUUUUGAAUCAAAAAGUAUUGUAUUAGAUGUCUUAUCUUUGAUCUGUUGGAAAAGAGCAUGUUAUAUUAUAGAAGAUAAAGCAUCAUGUAUUAAUUUGCAAGAAUAAAUACUUAAUAUGAAUCACUCGAAGAAGCUUCUUAUUCAUA
Solanum pennellii is the source of this 1274-nucleotide long non-coding RNA. RefSeq lists it as uncharacterized. The transcript has 6 exons. The record is from RefSeq and is a predicted model, not a curated record. NCBI's taxonomy places the organism in Eukaryota, Viridiplantae, Streptophyta, Magnoliopsida, Solanales, Solanaceae.